Non-coding RNA from Aegilops tauschii subsp. strangulata, 2271 nucleotides. NCBI's taxonomy places the organism in Eukaryota, Viridiplantae, Streptophyta, Magnoliopsida, Poales, Poaceae. The record is from RefSeq and is a predicted model, not a curated record.
AGGUCCAAAUGAUCCACGCUUCUUUCCUACAAAUCCUUCUACUCCUUUUGGUGACCUUGGGAGUGUUCCGCCCGGUAGACGCUAUGAUCCAAUUGGCCCGCCCGGUGUUCCAGGAUUUGAACCAUCUCGCUUUGUGAGGUAAGUUGGCUUUUCUUAACAUUUUCUAUAGACCCACUUUAUGCUUGGCAACCGGUAAGGCUCAAGAUGGCCUGUUAUUGUAUCUGAUACUAUCGCUUUAGAAAGGUUUGUUGUCUCAAGUAAGAAACAAACCGUUCUUAUAGUUCAUUUUUUUCGCGCUGAUUGCUAACUCACAUCCAAUGCAACAUCUAGCACAAUACAAAUUUCUAUAUAUUCUAAUUUAUUUCUUAAGCAAGACCCAGUGCAGCCAAGAGGACAGUUUUGUCGUGUUUAGUUUAUCAUUAUGUAAAAUAUUUUGGGUACUUGCUCUGUUGACUGGCCUUAUGUUGAAUAGUUUUGAUAUUCCAGUUUAUAAUUUCGAGUUUUUGACCCUGGUUCCUUGUAUAUAGUGUGAAGGAUUUCUUCUCUGAAGAACAGACCAGGAAUUAUAAAGAUUUGCACAAGAAUUUUACGGACUUCAUUCAUAUCCUGAACUUAAGCUUAUUGGCUGAAUUGAAUGGUAAGGAUGCUGCUGCCGCCCAGAAUCCUAAUGUUGAGAGCAGUUCGUCAAUAAACAGGUAUUUCUAUGCUCGGUUUUAAACUUGUGGCAUGUCCCAUCUCCAUCUUUGACACUAAAAAUAAGACUAAGUUCCUGUUUAUCUCAUCGCAAACAAAUAAUCUAGUAUAUUGCCCUCUGUAAUUACUUCCAUGUUGCACUUUUACUUGGUACAAAUGAAUUAAUAUCAUUAUUUAGGGAAUUUGGGCUUUUAUGGUAAUAUUCUGAUGAUUAUCCUCCUUUGCCUAAAGUUUAACUUCCAAAGCUUUUCUGUUGUAGCCGACCCCAUUUUUUUAAUAAUUCUCUAACACGUGGCACUUCUCCUUGCAGUUCUGGAAAUGUUAUGUUCGAAAACCAAGUACAAGGAUAACUGUACCAGCCGGGUAAGCAUACCACCAUUUGUAUUUCCCCUUCUUCUUUUGUGUGGCACUCCUUUUAUUCACCUUUUUUGUACUUUGUUGGAACUUCUUCCAGUUCUGAAUAUGUUCUGUGGGAAAACCGGUUUACAAGGAUGAUUGAACCUGCCGGGUACGAAUACAACCAUUUGUAUUUCCCUUUCUUCUUUUUUGUGGCACUUCUUUAUACACCUUUUUUGUAUUUUGUUGUCACUUCUCCUUCCAGUUCUGAAAACGAUCUGUGGGAAAAACCCAAGUACAAGGCACAACCAUUUGUAUAUCCCAUUCUUCUGUUGUGUGGCACUCCUUUAUUCACCUUUUUGUACUUUGUGGUUAUUUUAUUGAGUCCUGUCCAAUCUGAUUAGAAAUCUCUAAGGCUUAGCCACUAGUGAGUCCUUCCUAGUUUUCUUGUACUUCAUUCAUACCUACACCGCCUUCGAUGACAAGCUGAAUGUCUUGGAACAUACCUUCGGUCCUGAUAUCAACUGGCCUUGUUCACUUUUCAUGGGCAUGCAUUUCCUUACGCAUAUUCUAUUGCCAUCUAAUUUUGUACGCAUAUAUAUAAGAACAUCCUUUUGCUCUAUACUUGUACUCUGUCCUGUCCUUUUGCUACAUCACGCAUAUGAUUAUUUAUUUAUUUAUUUGAAAUUAGGUACAUGUGCCUGAAUUGACACUUUAUAGUACUCUGAAUUUCCUAAGAAUUUUCUUUACAAGUGCACAAACUAGUGUAGGGGCCGGUUCAUAUCAACUUAAUUUCGGUUUUACCAAAAUUUGCACUCACUAGCACUCUUUGUAGGAUAAAUAGGCUACCAGUGAAUUGGUUAUAGGAUAUUGAUAACGGGGCUAAUAUUUCCGUUUAUGUAUUGUGGUACAGGUUGAUUUAUCCUCCAGUAGCUCCAGUUGAUCAUGAUGACACCUUCGCUGUUCCUGAUGUUGGCUUCUACCCUCACAGUGGUGGGACAGGUGGUAGUAUGCACGUAGGUCCAAAUGAUCCACGCUUCUUUCCUACAAAUCCUUCUACUCCUUUUGGUGACCUUGGGAGUGUUCCGCCCGGUAGACGCUAUGAUCCAAUUGGCCCGCCCGGUGUUCCAGGAUUUGAACCAUCUCGCUUUGUGAGGCAUUCGAGGCAUUCAAGUCCUUCAGGUGGAAGCACUCACCCAGACCUUGAGUUCUUCCAGCAAGGCCCAGACUUCUUGUGAGACU